AAAUGAUUAGGAAUAGAGAAAACAGUGACAUAAUUCUGCCCGAUGAAGGCUAAGUGUAUCAACUUAAAAUUUUGAUAGGACAAAAUAUAGAUUUUUAAAAAUUAGAUAGAAAAAGCAAAAAAGCGACUAUUUACAUAAGUGUUUUGUGUAUUUUAGCCAAAAAAAAAAAGAGAGGCUGUUAAUUAAAAGAAAAUUCGUUUGUAAAUGAAAUCAAAAAAUGGAGAGAGAGAGAGAGAGAGAGAGAGAGAGAGAUAAU
This 256-nucleotide long non-coding RNA is filed under the name Ananas comosus (pineapple). Its description in RNAcentral is "long non-coding RNA (ACOM_LNC032164)". Lineage: Eukaryota; Viridiplantae; Streptophyta; Magnoliopsida; Poales; Bromeliaceae. The record is from RNAcentral.